Molecule: ribosomal RNA, 825 nt
Filed under: Blochmannia endosymbiont of Camponotus cf. simillimus
Lineage: Bacteria; Pseudomonadati; Pseudomonadota; Gammaproteobacteria; Enterobacterales; Enterobacteriaceae
Description: bacterial SSU rRNA
Rfam family: Bacterial small subunit ribosomal RNA
Source: RNAcentral
CGUGUGUGUGAAGAAGGCCUUCGGGUUGUAAAGCACUUUCAAUGGGGAAGAAGUUAAAAUUGCUAAUAUCAAUUUUAAUUGACGUUACCCAUACAAGAAGCACCGGCUAACUCCGUGCCAGCAGCCGCGGUAAUACGGAGGGUGCGAGCGUUAAUCGGAAUUACUGGGCGUAAAGAGUACGUAGGCGGUUUGUUAAGUCAGAUGUGAAAUCCCUGAGCUUAACUUAGGAACUGCAUUUGAAACUGAUGAGCUAGAGUUUCGUAGAGGGAGGUAGAAUUCCAGGUGUAGCGGUGAAAUGCGUAGAGAUCUGGAGGAAUACCAGUGGCGAAGGCGGCCUCCUGGACGAAAACUGACGCUCAGGUACGAAAGCAUGGGGAGCAAACAGGAUUAGAUACCCUGGUAGUCCAUGCCGUAAACGAUGUCGAUUUGAAGGUUGUAACCAUUGAGUUGUGGCUUUCGGAGCUAACGCGUUAAAUCGACCGCCUGGGGAGUACGACCGCAAGGUUAAAACUCAAAUGAAUUGACGGGGGCCCGCACAAGCGGUGGAGCAUGUGGUUUAAUUCGAUGCAACACGAAGAACCUUACCUACUCUUGACAUCCAAAGAACCGUAUAGAGAUAUAUGGGUGCCUUAGGGAACUUUGAGACAGGUGCUGCAUGGCUGUCGUCAGCUCGUGUUGUGAAAUGUUGGGUUAAGUCCCGCAACGAGCGCAACCCUUAUCCUUUGUUGCCAACGAGUCAAGUCGGGAACUCAAAGGAGACUGCCGGUGAUAAACCGGAGGAAGGUGAGGAUGACGUCAAGUCAUCAUGGCCCUUAUGAGUAGGGC